RNAcentral lists this transfer RNA (64 nucleotides) under Oxyethira ecornuta. RNAcentral's name for it is "tRNA-Tyr". The record is from RNAcentral. Lineage: Eukaryota; Metazoa; Arthropoda; Insecta; Trichoptera; Hydroptilidae.
AAUAAAGUGGCUGAUAAUAGGCGAUAAAUUGUAAAUUUAUUUAUAAAUAAAAAUUUCUUUAUUA